Molecule: ribosomal RNA, 113 nt
Filed under: Diaphorina citri (Asian citrus psyllid)
Lineage: Eukaryota; Metazoa; Arthropoda; Insecta; Hemiptera; Psyllidae
Source: RNAcentral
GCCAGCGGAGAUAGAACGUUGAAUGCACCAGUUUCCUAUGGAUCACUGAAGCAACGUUGCGCAUGGUUGGUAUGCGGAUGGGUGACCAUCUGGGCAAUCGCGAGCAGCUGACU